RNAcentral lists this ribosomal RNA (253 nucleotides) under uncultured bacterium. RNAcentral describes it as "partial 16S ribosomal RNA". It matches the Rfam family "Bacterial small subunit ribosomal RNA", at positions 524 to 776 of the family's 1533-position model. The record is from RNAcentral.
UACGGAGGGUGCAAGCGUUGUUCGGAAUUAUUGGGCGUAAAGCACGCGUAGGCGGGCUUGUAUGUCAGAUGUGAAAGCCCUUGGCUCAACUGAGGAAGUGCAUCUGAAACUGCAAGUCUUGAGUACGAGAGAGGAGAGUGGAAUUCCCAGUGUAGAGGUGAAAUUCAUAGAUAUUGGGAAGAACACCGGCGGCGAAAGCGGCUCUCUGGCUCGAUACUGACGCUGAGGCGUGAAAGCGUGGGGAGCAAACAGG